GACCCAGCACCCUCCACCAGCUGUACGUACAGGGAAUCUCAUCUCCUCAGCCUUUCUUCUUAUCUCUUUUUUUCUCUCUCUAGAAUCUGCCAUAGGUGGUUUUGAAGGAGCUUCUUAGUGGAGUCGAUACUUUGAGCUGAAAGGAAGGCUUUUGAGCAGGAAAUUGGUUGUUGGAGAGGAAAACCAAGGAAAGUUCGACGUGUUCGGAAGCUCGAAUUGACAUUCCGACGGACCUACGAUGUGCUAAUUAGGAAAAGCCUUGUUUUGCUUGCGUUUGCGUUGAGUCACGAGGAAUAGGCGCUUGUAAAUUUUGAAGCUCUAGUUCUAGCAUUUUGGCAUCCCUAUAAGGUCCUAGAGCGAGCAGAGCGGUCGAGGAUCGCGGCAAGGGCGUUGCACCUUAGUUAGUGGACUCCCGAGUAUAGCUAUGUACCAUUUUUGGCUUUCAUCUGAUAUAUAUGAUGAAAAGGAAAUCAUGUAAAAAUGUUGUACGAAAUGAGCAUGUAAUAUGUCGUAAGUAACUGAAUGUAAUAGUAUCCAGCUUUUGUAUUUUGUUUAAAGUUUUCAAGAUACAGUUAAUACAUGUUUAGUUAGCUUA
Long non-coding RNA from Ananas comosus (pineapple), 595 nucleotides. RefSeq lists it as uncharacterized. The record is from RefSeq and is a predicted model, not a curated record. Lineage: Eukaryota; Viridiplantae; Streptophyta; Magnoliopsida; Poales; Bromeliaceae. The transcript has 3 exons.